RNAcentral lists this unclassified non-coding RNA (348 nucleotides) under soil metagenome. Its description in RNAcentral is "partial contains 5.8S ribosomal RNA, internal transcribed spacer 2, and large subunit ribosomal RNA". The stretch from base 1 to 120 matches the Rfam family "5.8S ribosomal RNA", at positions 35 to 154 of the family's 154-position model. The record is from RNAcentral.
GAUGCAGAACGUAGCGAAAUGCGAUAAGUAAUGUGAAUUGCAGAAUUCAGUGAAUCAUCGAGUCUUUGAACGCACAUUGCGCCCCCUGGUAUUCCGGGGGGCAUGCCUGUCCGAGCGUCAUUGCUGCCCUCAAGCACGGCUUGUGUGUUGGGCCCCCGUCCCCGGUUUCCCCCGGGGACGGGCCCGAAAGGCAGCGGCGGCACCGCGUCCGGUCCUCGAGCGUAUGGGGCUUUGUCACCCGCUCUGUAGGCCCGGCCGGCGCCAGCCGACACCCAACUUUAUUUCUAAGGUUGACCUCGGAUCAGGUAGGGAUACCCGCUGAACUUAAGCAUAUCAAUAAGCGGAGGA